RNAcentral lists this ribosomal RNA (429 nucleotides) under Bacteroidota bacterium. Its description in RNAcentral is "Bacteroidetes bacterium partial 16S ribosomal RNA". It matches the Rfam family "Bacterial small subunit ribosomal RNA", at positions 355 to 776 of the family's 1533-position model. The record is from RNAcentral. Lineage: Bacteria; Pseudomonadati; Bacteroidota.
UAGGGAAUCUUCGGCAAUGGGGGGAACCCUGACCGAGCAACGCCGCGUGAGUGAAGAAGGUUUUCGGAUCGUAAAGCUCUGUUGUUAAGGAAGAACGAGUGUGAGAAUGGAAAGUUCAUGCUGUGACGGUACUUAACCAGAAAGGGACGGCUAACUACGUGCCAGCAGCCGCGGUAAUACGUAGGUCCCGAGCGUUGUCCGGAUUUAUUGGGCGUAAAGCGAGCGCAGGCGGUUAGAAAAGUCUGAAGUGAAAGGCAGUGGCUCAACCAUUGUAGGCUUUGGAAACUGUUUAACUUGAGUGCAGAAGGGGAGAGUGGAAUUCCAUGUGUAGCGGUGAAAUGCGUAGAUAUAUGGAGGAACACCGGUUGCGAAAGCGGCUCUCUGGUCUGUAACUGACGCUGAGGCUCGAAAGCGUGGGGAGCGAACAGG